Brachypodium distachyon (stiff brome) is the source of this 125-nucleotide non-coding RNA. NCBI's taxonomy places the organism in Eukaryota, Viridiplantae, Streptophyta, Magnoliopsida, Poales, Poaceae. The record is from Rfam.
UUUAUACUCCCUUUGUCUCAUAUUAAGUGACUUUUUAUUACAUGUAUCUAGACACAUUUUAUGUGUAGAUACAUCCAUAUUUGGACAAAAUUGAGUCACUUAAUAUGGGACAGAGGGAGCACAUG